Molecule: long non-coding RNA, 1347 nt
Filed under: Mus musculus (house mouse)
Lineage: Eukaryota; Metazoa; Chordata; Mammalia; Rodentia; Muridae
Description: predicted gene 13629 (Gm13629)
Source: RNAcentral
AGCAAGAGUAAGAAGUAUUGGCAGCAGCAAGCAGGCGGGCAGGCUGAGAUCUUGCAUGGAAAUCAUGAACCAGGUCUUGCUUUUCGUUUUUGAAACGUUUUGGAAGGAGAGUUAUGAAUAGCCCAGAAAUAGGUCUCAUUUUGUGGGUAGGAAGAAUGACCAGAAGCAUGAAAGCUAAAUCUCCUGGCAAGUGCAGGGGACCUCUCUUGGAGUGUGCAGUAAACCCGAGGGGACGACUUCUCCUGCUGUCAACUCCUGAACCAUCACAUCUGGAGUGAAGGAAGGGGCUGGUGAAGCCUUGUAAUAAAUGCAAAGGAUGCUGCUGAGAGCUUUGGUCUGCCUUUAACUCAUUGUGGCAAAGUUGGACAUCCCAAAGAUGGCGUAGAUGAACAUGACGAGGAAAAGCAGGAGGCCGAUGUUGAACAGCGCAGGAAGGGACAUCAUCAGAGCAAAGAGCAGCGUGCGGAUCCCCUUGGCGCCUUUGAUCAGGCGUAGGAUUCGUCCAAUCCUGGCCAGGCGAAUGACUCGGAACAGGAUGCUACUCCCAGUCUUCACUGAGAAACUGCUCUAGCCAGUGAACGACAGUGAAUGAAGAAAUGCCUGGCUGCUCGAGACACCGAGAGUGACAGCUGCGUGCUCAGCUCAGGAGGACGUUCAUAUCCUUCUUCAAGGCUCUAGGAACAAAGCGUGGUGAUGACAGGAAGACAGUAAGAGCCCAGGACAUAGGGAUGGGAGCUAUGAAGCUCUGUGCUGUACCAAGGACACAAUCAAUGUAAUCGCGGCACCAUAACAGAGGUCAGCAGUGGGUUCGUGCAAUACUGAGCGGGUCAGCAUUCAUUCAUUCAUAUACAGAGAGGGCCCAUGCAGCCACAUCUUCUCUGCUGAAUUAUGAGCUACCGAUGGAUUGUGGGAGAAACAAACAUUCUCUUCAGCCUUGGGCCCACUUCUGAGUUCACUAGGUUAAACUUCUUCGAUGUUGGCCUGGUUCUGUUCCUCGUACGCCAUGGCUACCACAGCCAGGAUCAAGUUUAUCAGGUAAAAGGAUCCCAGAAAUAUCACCACGACAAAGAAAAUCAUGUAGGUUUUGCCAGCAGCACGCAGUGUCUAUGGGGAGCAAAAAAGAGACAUGAUUAUUUUAGUAAUACAAAAAUUUCACUAAGGUUUUUAUUGCAGCUAGUAUAUAAUGAAUGUGCAAACCAGAUAUUUUUGUAUAAUUUUGUUGUAGAAAGAUAAAUAAAGAUAAUAUCUUUGAGGAAAAUCAGUAUUAAACAAACUUUUUAAUAUAAAAGAUACAGCAUUGUUAUAUGUACAUUAAGGCUUGAUUCUUCAUUAAAAUGAAAUAUAAUG